RNAcentral lists this ribosomal RNA (439 nucleotides) under uncultured bacterium. Its description in RNAcentral is "partial 16S ribosomal RNA". It matches the Rfam family "Bacterial small subunit ribosomal RNA", at positions 338 to 795 of the family's 1533-position model. The record is from RNAcentral.
CCUACGGGAGGCAGCAGUGGGGAAUAUUGCACCAUGGGGGAAACCCUGCUGCAGCAACGCCGCGUGAGUGAAGAAGUAUUUCGGUCUGUAAAGCUCUAUCAGCAGGGAAGAAGAUGACGGUACCUGAAUAAGAAGCCUCGGCUAACUACGUGCCAGCAGCCGCGGUAAUACGUAGGGGGAAAGCGUUAUCCGGAUUUACUGGGUGUAAAGGGAGCGUAGACGGCGCUGCAAGUCCGGAGUGACAGCCCAUGGCUAAACCCUGUUACGGCUCUGUAAACUGUUGAGCUGGAGUGCGUGAGGGGCAGGCGGAAUUCCUAGUGUAGCGGGGAAAUGCGUAGAUAUUAGGAGGAACACCGGCGGCGAAGGCGGCCUGCUGUACCGUAACGGACGUGGAGGCUCGAAAGCGGGGGGAGCAAACAGGAUUAGAUACCUAGUAGUC